This is a non-coding RNA of Ictidomys tridecemlineatus (thirteen-lined ground squirrel), 2500 nucleotides long. The record is from RefSeq and is a predicted model, not a curated record. Lineage: Eukaryota; Metazoa; Chordata; Mammalia; Rodentia; Sciuridae.
CGUCCCGACAGCCGUCCCAGGCCGCCCGCCCUGCUUGCGUCACUUCCCCGGAUCCCCGCCCCGUGGCGUCACGGGCCGUCCUAGGCCGCCGAGGGAGACGGAGUGCGGGGAGGCCAGAUCCAGGCGUCAGCAAGGCUUACUAAUCUCCCUGGGGGUAAGGAGAGGCUUGGAAAGAAGAAAGGAAGUCCUUCCUCCAGUAGUGUUAGCAACACUGUGGGAUUCAGUUGAGAUGUCUCUUCAGGAAAAGAUGCCAUGCUGCUGUGUUACUACCUCAUACCCAGGGAAGUAGCCUUUUCUCCUUAAAAGAUGACUUUAUAAAUCAAACAUAGUUCUUAAGAUACUUACUCUAACUUUGGAGAUAUUCCUCUUAAUAUUCUUAUUUUUUAAAUUGGAAAAUUGCUGUUAAGGUACAUUUGUUACCAUUUUUCUCCCCUUUGAAGUCUCAAUUCCAUGUUUUCUUGCUGCUGUAACAGAUGGGCCCAGUGAGACUGCUCAGGGGAUAUCUUGAGCCAGAGGACCCAGUAAGACUGUGCCCAGAUUUCUGACCCAAAGAAAUUCAGAGACAAUAAAUGUUGUUUUUAGUCACAGUGUUUAAAGAUGGUUUAUACUCAGUGACAGGAAACUACAACAUCCCACAAAUGACUUGAUUAAAUCCACUGAUGUAGCCAGGCAUGGUGGCAUACACCUAUAACUAUUGACUCAGGAGGGUGAGUCAGGAAGAUCACAAAUUCAAGCCACCUUUAGCAAUAAGAUCCUGUCUUUAUCUUUAAUAAGAUCCUGUCUCAAAAAAGAAAAGAAAAGAAAACAACCAGGGAUGUAGCUAGGUGGUAAAGCACCAUGGGUUCAGUUCCUAGUACCAAGACCACAACUACAAAAAAAUCCACUGGCUUAAGGAAAAGGAGGCUCGGAGAGAUGCCUGCUCUGUUUGUGACCUCCUCUCACCCACAGGAGUAAGUGAAUGUGCACUUGGCACAAGGGGCCAUGUGUCAGGCUGUGCCCCUCCCCAGCCAUUUGGUACCACCCUGAUUCCUCACUGCCUGCCCACCUCAAAACUUGGGAAACAAAUAGCAUGUACCCCUCUGGGGAAAAAGGCACCAAGGGAAUUUCUGUCCUAAUAAACUAUUUGUUCCCUACAAGAGAGAAAUGAGGAAAUGUAUCCUGGUGAAGAAAAACAUGGAGGGAUCCAGUCCUGCAUUCAGAGCAGAACUUAGAGCAGAAGCAGACUUUCUACCCACUGUCUCCAAGGCUGACCCCAGACUUCAUCAUUCAUGUCAACUGACCACGUCAUACUGGCUCUGAGAGGACAGCCCAUGGGAGGAAACAGUGCAGAGGAGCAUGCAGUAACUGCCACCUCUUAGUUCACUUUGAGUGAAAUUGGGUGCCACUGCAGACUUUAAAACCUUGGUGAAGAGGACAUACUAGUUAUGGGAAAAAGAGAAUUCUUCAACAGACAGCCAGAGAAUGUCUUCACAGUCACCCUUGACGUGGAUUCAACAGCAAGUGCUCUACCACUGAGCCACAACCCCAGCUCAUAUCUUUACUGUUUUAAAUCAUAGCAACAGCUAUGCUUUAUUUGUGGUUUUGAACUAUGAAAGACUUGCAAUAAUCCCUAAAGGGGGUCAAAGAGUACAGACUUGCAGCCAACCUCUAGACCAGACAGCUGGUGAAUAAAUUCCACCUCCUGCUCCAAAAUUGACUUGGUGAUUUAUUGCAAUCUCGCCAUAACACCAUGGUUACCAACCGUAAACUGCUCAGAACUGGCCUGACCUGGGUGCCAGGAAUGAAGACCCACAACAAAGCUCAGUGUCAUCUGCUCCUUUCCACUCCACUAUGUCUAGCGGCAGCACCCUGGCAAACAAGGGCACUUAGAAGAAUGAGUACAUUGAGGAGCCCUGCAUUAAGACAGACACAGCUCCCCAGAGCAUGAAAGAUCCCAGAUCCCACCCCAGCGGAUCUCACCUGCCCCAUGGCCACAGCCAGGAAAACUGCCCGGAAAUUUCUCAGAUCUGCAGCCUGCAGCUCAGCCACAAUGCCAGCAUCCAGCAGCACCAAGCGCAGGGGGCAUAAGGCUGGCACCAUGGCCACCACCAGGGUGUCACAGACAUCCACCUGCUGCAGCUGUGCCUCAUGGCUCAAGGAAGGUCCAUCAGCACCCUGGACGAGGAUGUUCCCAGGAUGAAGGUCUGCAUGCACGAAGUUAUCCACAAAUAUCUGGAAAGAGAUGACACCAUUCAAGGCUGAGUCAACCCUUACUACCCAGCACCACCAAGCUACAUGCAGAAAAGGCUUCAGGGUGACAUGGUAAAGAGGUGUCCUGUUUCACAAAGCCUGGGGAUGUCAUCAGUUCAGAAUGUGUGCAGGGACAAGCUAAGUAAAAGUUUUCAAGAGAAAAAUUAUUUUCAAAGUAAAGCAGACCAGACUACCUUUCAAAAGACUUAUUUUUAUUUUUACAUUGUGACUUGAUUCAUUGAUGUUCUAAUUAAAAAAUAAUUAUUCUGGG